UACAGAGGUGGCAAGCGUUGUUCGGAAUUACUGGGCGUAAAGGGCGCGUAGGCGGUCCUGUAAGUCCCGCGUGAAAUCCCCCGGCUCAACUGGGGAACUGCGCGGGAAACUGUGGGGCUUGAGUUCGGGAGAGGGAAGCGGAAUUCCGGGUGUAGCGGUGAAAUUCGUAGAUAUUGGGAAGAACACCGGUGGCGAAGGCGGCGACCUGGUCCAUUACUGACGCUGAGGCGCGACAGCGUGGGGAGCAAACAGG
RNAcentral lists this ribosomal RNA (253 nucleotides) under uncultured bacterium. Its description in RNAcentral is "partial 16S ribosomal RNA". It matches the Rfam family "Bacterial small subunit ribosomal RNA", at positions 524 to 776 of the family's 1533-position model. The record is from RNAcentral.